CCCCUUCCAAUCGGUAAAAACCACGCCUAUAUACGUCCUGUCGGCGCAAGCCGACUAUGGUGAUAAACGGACGGUGUAAUAAACCCAUUGGACCCGGGGGCGGUACCCGGCGCCUCCACCACAGCACAGCUUGCCGAUCAGGCUGUGUUGUGGCGGGGGGCGAAACAGGAUCGACAAGGGUGUAAAGAUCGCUCUUUUACUCGGCAUGAUACCACCGUUAUCGGGUCAACAGAGUAGUUGCAAAUGACAACAAUGCUCAGGGUUAUGCUCUCGCUGCCUAAUGGCGGUGCGGGAAACCCACUCUAAAGUCCUUAGGGUUAGCCCCUUAAGGCGGGGUUCGGAGGCACCUGGCAACAGAAGCCUCCACU
This 368-nucleotide transfer-messenger RNA is filed under the name Brucella abortus. It matches the Rfam family "Alphaproteobacteria transfer-messenger RNA". Rfam says of the family: Bacterial tmRNA, also known as 10Sa RNA or SsrA, is named for its dual tRNA and mRNA-like properties. Its role is to liberate the mRNA from a stalled ribosome. Lineage: Bacteria; Pseudomonadati; Pseudomonadota; Alphaproteobacteria; Hyphomicrobiales; Brucellaceae. The record is from RNAcentral.